This 478-nucleotide ribosomal RNA is filed under the name uncultured bacterium. RNAcentral describes it as "partial 16S ribosomal RNA". It matches the Rfam family "Bacterial small subunit ribosomal RNA", at positions 28 to 507 of the family's 1533-position model. The record is from RNAcentral.
GAUGAACGCUGGCGGCGUGCUUAACACAUGCAAGUCGAACGGGAAUUAUUUUAUUGACACUUCGGUCGAUUUAAUUUAAUUCUAGUGGCGGACGGGUGAGUAACGCGUGGGUAACCUGCCUUAUACAGGGGGAUAACAGUCAGAAAUGGCUGCUAAUACCGCAUAAGCGCACAGAGCUGCAUGGCUCAGUGUGCAAAACUCCGGUGGUAUAAGAUGGACCCGCGUUGGAUUAGCUUGUUGGCAGGGUAACGGCCUACCAAGGCGACGAUCCAUAGCCGGCCUGAGAGGGUGAACGGCCACAUUGGGACUGAGACACGGCCCAGACUCCUACGGGAGGCAGCAGUGGGGAAUAUUGCACAAUGGGGGAAACCCUGAUGCAGCGACGCCGCGUGAAGGAAGAAGUAUCUCGGUAUGUAAACUUCUAUCAGCAGGGAAGAUAGUGACGGUACCUGACUAAGAAGCCCCGGCUAACUACGUG